RNAcentral lists this ribosomal RNA (1016 nucleotides) under uncultured Chloroflexota bacterium. RNAcentral describes it as "bacterial SSU rRNA". It matches the Rfam family "Bacterial small subunit ribosomal RNA", at positions 8 to 1022 of the family's 1533-position model. The record is from RNAcentral. Lineage: Bacteria; Bacillati; Chloroflexota.
AGAGUUUGAUUAUGGCUCAGGACGAACGCUGGCGGCGCGCCUAAUGCAUGCAAGUCGAGCGAGGCUCCACCCUUCGGGGUGGAUGUCCUAGCGGCAAACGGCUGAGUAACGCGUGGGUGAUCUACCCCAGAGAGGGGAAUAACCCGCCGAAAGGCGGACUAAUUCCGCAUACGCUCCACCGUGUAAAGGCGAUGGUGGAAAGGGUUCCGGGCAACCGGCGCCGCUCUGGGAGGAGCUCGCGUCCUAUCAGGUUGUUGGUGGGGUAACGGCCUACCAAAUGCCAAAGACGGGUAGCUGGUGUGAGAGCACGACCAGCCAGAGGGGGACUGAGACACGGCCCCCACUCCUACGGGAGGCAGCAGCAGGGAAUCUUGCACAAUGGGCGAAAGCCUGAUGCAGCGACGCCGCGUGAGGGACGAAGGCUCUAGGGUUGUAAACCUCUUUUCUCAGGGAAGAGCAAGGACGGUACCUGAGGAAUAAGCCACGGCUAACUACGUGCCAGCAGCCGCGGUAAUACGUAGGUGGCGAGCGUUGUCCGGAAUUAUUGGGCGUAAAGGGUCCGUAGGCUGUUUAGUAAGUCUCCUGUGAAAACUCCAGGCUCAACUUGGAGCGGUCGGGGGAUACUGCAGGACUUGAGGCUGUCAGAGGAAAGCGGAAUUCCCGGUGUAGUGGUGAAAUGCGUAGAUAUCGGGAGGAACAUCAGUGGCGAAAGCGGCUUUCUGGGACAGUUCUGACGCUGAGGGACGAAAGCGUGGGGAGCAAACCGGAUUAGAUACCCGGGUAGUCCACGCCCUAAACGAUGGAUGCUAGGUUUGUGGGGUAUCGACCCCCUGCGAGCCAAAGCUAACGCGAUAAGCAUCCCGCCUGGGGACUACGGCCGCAAGGCUAAAACUCAAAGGAAUUGACGGGGGCCCGCACAAGCAGCGGAGCGUGUGGUUUAAUUCGAUGGUAAGCGAAGAACCUUACCUGGGCUUGACAUGCAAGUGGUACUAAACCGAAAGGCAAGGGACCCGCAA